This is a long non-coding RNA of Perca fluviatilis (European perch), 1656 nucleotides long. RefSeq lists it as uncharacterized. Lineage: Eukaryota; Metazoa; Chordata; Actinopteri; Perciformes; Percidae. The record is from RefSeq and is a predicted model, not a curated record. The transcript is spliced from 3 exons.
AUUUCAGGACCUGCAGACCAGCCUGACUACGAGUGCACUGUUCCAUGCUCGACUGCUGCCAUGGAAACGCCCUGCAAAUGGGCGUGGGAGUGUGAGUCACAUGGUCACCAAAAGGGGAGGCGGAGAGGUUUCCCUACAGACUAGUGCACGCGGAAUUCUGCUCUUUCUCCAGCGCAGCACAUUUGGUGGGAUAUGUGAAGGAAAUGAAGAGCAUAGCUGAGCAGUGAGUCAUGCUGUUUACUGGUAAAAGCCUCGACCAGCGGCAGGGAAUCACACCCUCCCGAUCUGACGUUUCCUGGAAAAUCCCGUUGUUUCGCAGGGAGGAAGGAACAGUACAGAGAACCUUGGAAAUGGCUGGCAACUUUUGUGCGGAAAGGGAGAAGAACUCGCAGAAUAGCUGAGCAAAGAUACUAUCCCAACCAGGGACACUGGGAUUCAAAGAAAUGUCAAGAAUGCAAAAAAAAAAACAAUACAUACCCCCACUUUUUACUACCUGAAACCAAUGUGUGAAUAAUAUAAUAAUAAUAAUAAUAAUAAUAAUAAUAAUGUUUCCAAAAAAAGCAUACACCACAUCCCUCACAACAAGAUAUACCAAAGCAAAGUUCUUCAGUUGAAAAUAGUAUUAAUAAUAAUCCAAUACUAUCCAGAUGUCAGUGCUUCUCCUUCAGAACAGUCAGCUGAGACACCAGGACAGAGAAGAGGUGACAGCAUAGCAUACAUUCUGAAUGCGGUGGAACUGUAAAGCGUUGGUUUGUGCAUCUGCCAACAUGCAAUUUGAGUCACGGUGGGAUCAGGAAGUUGCCAAGGAAAAAGAUCAACAAUUGAAUCAGCAUGUCAGUCCCAGGGAGAAGAACCAAGAAGAAAUCCCUAAUAACACCACAAUCCAACAAAAUAAAUAAAUAAAUGAGUAAUCUUGACACUUGCCACACCUCCCACUAUAAUGAGGUGAAAGCAGCCGGUUGAGAUUUGGUCACUGACAGAAAAGCAGCAGAAGGCAGAAUGCUAAUCCCUGUGGGUGGCAGAGUUAGCAGCUUGAGACACUAUACAACUGUCAGGGACUCAAUUCGGACUGAUACACCGCAGGCCUGUAAAGACAUGCACCUGUUAUUGCCUGCCUACACUCUGUUUGGCAUGUUCAGCUGUGAAUAAAACCACUGGCUUCCAACAUCAAUAAUCAAAACUCAACAUCUUUUUUUUUUCUCCCAGGAAUACGAGCAAAACACAUCAUGACCAACGUGUUCCCUGGGAAUUUCACCAGCUGUGCCUUGUCACUAUCACGGACUAUUCGGGUGGUAAAAUGAGUCAGCCACUGUUACUUCUCCAUCCAAAGAAGACAUCAUGACUUUGGUGACUGAACCACAUGUUCACCUCAUGACAGAGGAGUGCACCGCUCCCACUGUUUGUCUGUGCACCCACCAGAAACAACAGUGAAUCACAAACGCCUCUCAGAUACACAUUUGUGACCAUCUAAGUGAAACAAGUUACUCAAAGACAAAUAUUUUCCAUUAUCACAAUGGCCUUAAAAUGUCACAAGUCUUAGUUAUUCAAUAAAUCAAACACACACUAAACUGUAUAAAGCAUUAUUAUUUCUGAGGUAAAAUGGUGUUGUUAGGUAAUUAUCAAAAAAAAUCAAAUGUACCUUUAAGACACGGUUUC